This 2067-nucleotide long non-coding RNA is filed under the name Apteryx haastii (Great spotted kiwi). RNAcentral describes it as "lncRNA (ENSAHAG00000000817.1)". Lineage: Eukaryota; Metazoa; Chordata; Aves; Apterygiformes; Apterygidae. The record is from RNAcentral.
UUGCUGACCUUCUGGAAACUGCAAGUGGAUUGGCUGUUUGCUAACAUGAGGGGUAGAGUGUCCCCCAACGCCUGCARUGGAUGUCGUCGGCCUUUCUACUGGCCAUUGCAUAGGCCAUACAGUUCGAUUGAUGAUGGUAACRUCAGCUCCGGUAUCCAGCAUGGCUUCGAUUUGCUUGGAUGUGCCAUGUUGUGAGAUGAUGACACUCAUGGUGGGACGCCGAUCCAUUUUGGUGGUAAAACAAACAGCAGGUCCGGUAGACCCAAAGCCACGGUCACCUCGAUAGGGUUGGAGCUGCGGCGGAUGGUCCAAUAAGGUGCCAAGAGCGACGAUUUGCGCGAUCUUGCUGCCUUUAGGAAUGAAAACAGGUGGGCAAACAGUAUAGACCAUGAUAUAAAUGCGACCUGUGUAAUCAGCAUCGAUUACCCCUGGCAACACAAUAAGUCCUUGAAUACCAGCUGAGGACCGCCCUAGCAGCAACCCUCCGAYGGAGCUGUUCUGAUGGAAGAGAGGCCCUAUCGCAUUGCUGGGGAUCUUCUGGACAGCGGAGUCAACGAGUGUGACGUCUGCUGUGGUCUCCACGUCGAUUCCCAGGCUCCCUCGGGUUGCAGGCUGGUGUUGCUGCAGAAAACCCCGGGUCCCCCCCCGUCCCCCAUCCAAAUUAGAUGAUAUGUAAUAGGGGUCAAUCACCCUUUUGUCCCAAUUAAAAUUUACUGGCCUAAUGGGGGACAAUAGCGAGUAAUACAGCUGGUGGACAUGGGGGCUGAGGUUGUUGUUUUGCACAGGACUCCGUCCCACUGAGGAUGCUCAGUAACCGUGAGUGGCCUUGGCAGGGCCGAUGUGCAAGACUCUCCUAUGCAGUUAAAAUUGGUAAUGAGCAAAGCAGCCCCCAUCAGGGUUCUUGUGUUGCUGGCCUUAAUCCGAGAGUGUAUUUUAGGCAUCAAUAUACUCUGAGGAAGAAAUAAUCGAUACUGAACGGGGUCCCUUCUUUUUUGGGCGGCCCUAUACAUUACAACAGCCGUUACUAUUUUGAAAGGACACCCACUUGGUACUAAUCAACGAGGAAGGGGUCCCAGUCCAUGUUCCCUCUUGGAAACUCUUUCCCAGAGAACUGUGACCUGAUGAACCUGCCGAGCAGAGCUGCGACAUUUCUGCUCUCCAUCCUAACCCCAUACACUGAUGGUAGCUGGGACGCCAACAACACUGCAGCAAGCCCAUUCAAACUGAAGUCCACAAGAUGAUGAGUCUACUCCAAGUACUACAAAAUGUCAAAUCCAAAGAAUCAGCAUGGUACAACUCAUGGCAGUGACUUUCAUCAUGGCUGUCAGAUUUAGGACUAUGGGAAAAUGCAUUAUACUCCUGGUCUUUUGAGCUGAUUAUUUUUGCAUGCAUGUAUGUUAUAUUUUACUAUAUAUUUACUAGAAUUUAGUUGCUUGUACAACUUAGCUGUUAGUUAAGCUAAUGCCUGAAAAGCAUGUCCAAACCUUGUCUGCACACUGGUGGCACCAACACCAUGUCUCUGUCAGUCAGGGGGUGGAGUGGAGUGAGAACACCUGCAGAAGAUCUGGCCAGGAGUCAGUGACUGGCAGAGUACGUGGUAGCAGCCCCAGCGUGUGAAACUCCACGCUGACCAAAUUCCCAUCAGGACCAGGCAGGCAUAUUCCCUUUUGUCAACAACGUCCAGCUGAUUCCUAGACAGCAGCUACUCAAGCUUAGCACAGCUGAGACAAGGAAAUAGUUCGAGUAGAUGUAAGGGGACCUUAGGAUACAACAAGCUGAGUCCUGCCUGGGGGUCUGACCUGGGCGUCAUCCAUCAUCAACCCUUCCGUGCAGUUCCUGGGGCUCCCUGUGCACUUUAGAGUGUAAGUCCUUCAUUAAAUCUACUCUGUUUAACCCCCCAUGAACCUGGAGUGUCUCUCUACACCGGUAUCCAAUCCUCCCUUUCCCACCUUGCGGUCACACAUAGCCAGUUGCUCCACUCAACUGAUAUAGCUGUGUCAUGCUAUGAAGGUUUGAUAGUAACAACUGAGACAGUAACGUAAUAAAAAAAUUAUGUUUACUUCCUCA